GAUGAACGCUGGCGGCGUGCCUAAUACAUGCGAGUCGAGCGAACAGACGAGGAGCUUGCUCCUCUGACGUUAGCGGCGGACGGGUGAGUAACACGUGGAUAACCUACCUAUAAGACUGGGAUAACUUCGGGAAACCGGAGCUAAUACCGGAUAAUAUAUUGAACCGCAUGGUUCAAUAGUGAAAGACGGUUUUGCUGUCACUUAUAGAUGGAUCCGCGCCGCAUUAGCUAGUUGGUAAGGUAACGGCUUACCAAGGCAACGAUGCGUAGCCGACCUGAGAGGGUGAUCGGCCACACGGGAACUGAGACACGGUCCAGACUCCUACGGGAGGCAGCAGUAGGGAAUCUGCCGCAAUGGGCGAAAGCCUGACGGAGCAACGCCGCGUGAGUGAUGAAGGUCUUCGGAUCGUAAAACUCUGUUAUUAGGGAAGAACAAAUGUGUAAGUAACUAUGCACGUCUUGACGGUACCUAAUCAGAAAGCCACGGCUAACUACGUG
RNAcentral lists this ribosomal RNA (497 nucleotides) under uncultured bacterium. Its description in RNAcentral is "partial 16S ribosomal RNA". It matches the Rfam family "Bacterial small subunit ribosomal RNA", at positions 28 to 507 of the family's 1533-position model. The record is from RNAcentral.